GUGCUCCUGUGUUAAUUGUGGUAUUGGCAUUCAGCAUGGAUGCUGAAGCUUUGUGCUUUGACUCUCUGAGAUUGAUGCUGGUAGGAAUCUUCGGGAUGUGGUUAUGCCAAGGCAUGCCUUGAUUAAAACAUCAAAUGAAGUAAGGAGUUUUGACACCACAUGCUAUUGUGGUUGUUCCUCGGGAAGCCACAACUCAGGCAGA
RNAcentral lists this long non-coding RNA (202 nucleotides) under Elaeis guineensis (African oil palm). Its description in RNAcentral is "long non-coding RNA (EGUI_LNC045098)". The record is from RNAcentral. Lineage: Eukaryota; Viridiplantae; Streptophyta; Magnoliopsida; Arecales; Arecaceae.